Molecule: ribosomal RNA, 468 nt
Filed under: uncultured bacterium
Lineage: Bacteria
Description: partial 16S ribosomal RNA
Rfam family: Bacterial small subunit ribosomal RNA
Source: RNAcentral
GAUGAACGCUGGCGGCGUGCUUAACACAUGCAAGUCGAACGGAGAAGGCGGAGCUUGCUCUGCUGGAUCAGUGGCGAACGGGUGAGUAACACGUGAGCAAUCUGCCCCUGACUCUGGGAUAAGCGCUGGAAACGGCGUCUAAUACUGGAUACGAGCUGCGAAGGCAUCUUCAGCAGCUGGAAAGAAUUUCGGUCAGGGAUGAGCUCGCGGCCUAUCAGCUUGUUGGUGAGGUAAUGGCUCACCAAGGCGUCGACGGGUAGCCGGCCUGAGAGGGUGACCGGCCACACUGGGACUGAGACACGGCCCAGACUCCUACGGGAGGCAGCAGUGGGGAAUAUUGCACAAUGGGCGAAAGCCUGAUGCAGCAACGCCGCGUGAGGGACGACGGCCUUCGGGUUGUAAACCUCUUUUAGCAGGGAAGAAGCGAAAGUGACGGUACCUGCAGAAAAAGCGCCGGCUAACUACGUG